RNAcentral lists this ribosomal RNA (478 nucleotides) under Bacillus sp. iCTE30. Its description in RNAcentral is "bacterial SSU rRNA". It matches the Rfam family "Bacterial small subunit ribosomal RNA", at positions 8 to 480 of the family's 1533-position model. Lineage: Bacteria; Bacillati; Bacillota; Bacilli; Caryophanales; Bacillaceae. The record is from RNAcentral.
AGAGUUUGAUCCUGGCUCAGGACGAACGCUGGCGGCGUGCCUAAUACAUGCAAGUCGAGCGAAUCGAUGGGAGCUUGCUCCCUGAGAUUAGCGGCGGACGGGUGAGUAACACGUGGGCAACCUGCCUAUAAGACUGGGAUAACUUCGGGAAACCGGAGCUAAUACCGGAUACGUUCUUUUCUCGCAUGAGAGAAGAUGGAAAGACGGUUUACGCUGUCACUUAUAGAUGGGCCCGCGGCGCAUUAGCUAGUUGGUGAGGUAAUGGCUCACCAAGGCGACGAUGCGUAGCCGACCUGAGAGGGUGAUCGGCCACACUGGGACUGAGACACGGCCCAGACUCCUACGGGAGGCAGCAGUAGGGAAUCUUCCGCAAUGGACGAAAGUCUGACGGAGCAACGCCGCGUGAACGAAGAAGGCCUUCGGGUCGUAAAGUUCUGUUGUUAGGGAAGAACAAGUACCAGAGUAACUGCUGGUACCU